RNAcentral lists this ribosomal RNA (2012 nucleotides) under Sphingomonas liriopis. Its description in RNAcentral is "partial 23S ribosomal RNA". It matches the Rfam family "Bacterial large subunit ribosomal RNA", at positions 695 to 2813 of the family's 2925-position model. The record is from RNAcentral. Lineage: Bacteria; Pseudomonadati; Pseudomonadota; Alphaproteobacteria; Sphingomonadales; Sphingomonadaceae.
CAUAGUUUGAAGUAUUAGACCCGAAACCCGGCGAUCUAGGCAUGACCAGGAUGAAGGUGCGGUAACACGCACUGGAGGUCCGAACCGAUUAACGUUGAAAAGUUACCGGAUGAGUUGUGUUUAGGGGUGAAAGGCCAAUCAAGCCGGGAAAUAGCUGGUUCUCCGCGAAAACUAUUGAGGUAGUGCCUCGGAUGGACACCCUAGGGGGUAGAGCACUGGAUGGAUGCGGGGGUCGCGAGAUCUACCAACUCUAACCAAACUCCGAAUACCUAGGAGUGAUAUCCGGGAGACAGACGGCGGGUGCUAAGGUCCGUCGUCAAAAGGGAAACAGCCCUGACCUACAGCUAAGGUCCCCAAGUCAUCACUAAGUGGGAAAGCAUGUGGAAAUCCCAAAACAACCAGGAGGUUGGCUUAGAAGCAGCCAUCCUUUAAAGAAAGCGUAACAGCUCACUGGUCUAAACAAGGGUUUCUGCGGCGAAGAUGUAACGGGGCUAAAGUGAUGCACCGAAGCUUAGGGUGUGGAUUUAUCCACGCGGUAGCGGAGCGUUCCGUAAGCCGUUGAAGCGAUCUGGUAAUGGGUCGUGGAGGUAUCGGAAGUGCGAAUGCAGACAUGAGUAGCGAUAAAGAGGGUGAGAUGCCCUCUCGCCGAAAGACCAAGGGUUCCUGCGCAAGGCUAAUCCGCGCAGGGUGAGCCGGCCCCUAAGACGAGCCCGAAGGGGGUAGUCGAUGGGAACCACGUUAAUAUUCGUGGGCCUGGUGGUGUGUGACGGAUGGUGUGUGUUGUACGUCCUUAUCGGAUUGGACGUGCUUCGAAACUGUUCCAGGAAAUAGCCCCACCGUAUAGACCGUACCCGAAACCGACACAGGUGGUCAGGUAGAGUAUACCAAGGCGCUUGAGAGAAGUGUCCUGAAGGAACUCGGCAAAUUGCCUCCGUACCUUCGGAAGAAGGAGGCCCCAACUAGGCGCAAGCUCUGUUGGGGGGCACAGGCCAGGGGGUAGCGACUGUUUAGCAAAAACACAGGGCUCUGCUAAGUCGGCUUCAAGACGACGUAUAGGGCCUGACGCCUGCCCGGUGCCUGAAGGUUAAGUGGAGGGGUGCAAGCUCUGAAAUGAAGCCCAGGUAAACGGCGGCCGUAACUAUAACGGUCCUAAGGUAGCGAAAUUCCUUGUCGGGUAAGUUCCGACCUGCACGAAUGGCGUAACGACUUCCCCACUGUCUCCAGGACAUGCUCAGCGAAAUUGAAUUCUCCGUGAAGAUGCGGAGUACCCGCGGUUAGACGGAAAGACCCCGUGCACCUUUACUGCAGCUUCAGAGUGGCAUUAGGAAAGAACUGUGUAGCAUAGGUGGGAGGCUUUGAAGCGUCGGCGCCAGCUGACGUGGAGCCAUAGGUGAAAUACCACCCUGUUGUUUUCUGAUGUCUAACCUCGUUCCGUAAGCCGGAACAGGGACCCUCUGUGGCGGGUAGUUUGACUGGGGCGGUCGCCUCCUAAAGAGUAACGGAGGCGCGCGAUGGUGGGCUCAGGACGGUUGGAAACCGUCUGUUAGAGUGCAAUGGCAUAAGCCCGCCUGACUGCGAGACUGACAAGUCGAGCAGAGACGAAAGUCGGUCAUAGUGAUCCGGUGGUCCCUCGUGGAAGGGCCAUCGCUCAACGGAUAAAAGGUACGCCGGGGAUAACAGGCUGAUAACCCCCAAGAGCUCAUAUCGACGGGGUUGUUUGGCACCUCGAUGUCGGCUCAUCACAUCCUGGGGCUGGAGCAGGUCCCAAGGGUUUGGCUGUUCGCCAAUUAAAGUGGUACGUGAGCUGGGUUCAGAACGUCGCGAGACAGUUUGGUCCCUAUCUGCCGUGGGCGUCGAAAUUUGAGAGGAGUUGACCCUAGUACGAGAGGACCGGGUUGAACGUACCUCUGGUGUACCUGUCGUCGUGCCAACGGCGCAGCAGGGUAGCUAUGUACGGACGGGAUAACCGCUGAAAGCAUCUAAGCGGGAAGCCUCCCUCGAGAUAAGAUUUC